UACGUAGGGUGCAAGCGUUGCUCGGAAUUAUUGGGCGUAAAGCGCACGUAGGCGGCUUAGUAAGUCGGAUGUGAAAUCCCUCGGCUCAACCAAGGAAGUGCAUCCGAAACUGCUGAGCUUGAGUACGAAAGAGGAUCGCGGAAUUCCCGGUGUAGAGGUGAAAUUCGUAGAUAUCGGGAGGAACACCAGUGGCGAAGGCGGCGAUCUGGGUCGAUACUGACGCUGAGGUGCGAAAGCGUGGGGAGCAAACAGG
RNAcentral lists this ribosomal RNA (253 nucleotides) under uncultured bacterium. RNAcentral describes it as "partial 16S ribosomal RNA". It matches the Rfam family "Bacterial small subunit ribosomal RNA", at positions 524 to 776 of the family's 1533-position model. The record is from RNAcentral.